Molecule: long non-coding RNA, 240 nt
Filed under: Elaeis guineensis (African oil palm)
Lineage: Eukaryota; Viridiplantae; Streptophyta; Magnoliopsida; Arecales; Arecaceae
Description: long non-coding RNA (EGUI_LNC063654)
Source: RNAcentral
GCUGCCUGCCCGUGGCUCCUCCAUCCUCAUCCCUGACUACCCUCUCGUGCACUAUGAGAAUAUGUUGUAUUAGCAAUAGCAAAUCACUGCAUCUGAAAGAUGAACAAGUUCUCUCUUAGCCACAUAAAUGUUUGACCUCUACGGGUAUCCACUCAGGACCAGUCUGGAUUGGUCCUCUUGAAGUAGAUCCUUCUUCUCUAAGUUGGAUCUUUCCUUAAUCUUCUUUUUCUCUUCUUCUUC